GAAGAUUUUUGCUGAUUUUGUGUCCACAGCAACACAUUCAUGGCACUCCACUCACCACAUCUGUCUCCUUGUGACUUCUUCCUGUUCCCCAAAAUGACAUGGUGUAAAAGUGACCUUUUGAGCUCAGUUUUGGAGAUUCAGCUCAUCACAGUUUACUGAACAGGACUUUCAGCGAGUGGUGCAGGAGCACUGGGAGCAGAGCAUCACUGCACAAGCUAAAUUUAAACCAGUUUCUGAUUUUCAUAGGUGCAGAGAUGUGAGGCAGUCGGAGGUUUAUUGAGCUCAGACUCUUCGUCUCUCUGCAGUGACUCCAGCUGACAGCAGCAUCAUGGCAACGUUCGUGUCUUUAGCGACAUGUCAUCACUGUCCUGUUGCUUCCCGCCGUGGUCUCUUCUAUAGAGACUCUCUGUCGGCUCUGUCCAGGAACCUGAGGGUCCCGGGGGGCCCCAAUCGGCCCCCAGGCCUACGGUUGCAGGGCCUCAGCCUGCACAACAAACGCCACUGCAGACUCACCAGACCUGAGCUCCCAGAAUCCAUUGCUCUGGCUCACUCCAAGCCGUCGAGCAGCAUGAAGCACCUGGUCCUGGGUCACCUGAGGAGGCUGGUGACUCUGAGCCCGGCCCAGCGGCUCCGAGGCCUCCAUCUGCCGGGCUGACCUCCUGCAGGGGCAGGUGGGCUGAGAGCUGCUGGACACCAGAGGGCGCCGCAGAGGUUCACACUGAGGCUGGAGGAUAAUAUCUCCACCCUGCAUCUCCAGGAAGAGCUGCUGAAUCACUGAGCUCCACUGAGAUCAGGUUCCACGUCCGGAGGCAGGAACUCAACUGUAGAAAGAUGUUUCACCGUGCUGAAUGUAUCUCUUGCUUGCUUUCUAUGGAUACAGUUUUUGAGCCAUGCUGCAUUUAUUUAUUUGAUUGAUCCAGUUUGCUUUGUUUUCAUCUCUCUGGAAACUGAGGUUUUAAAUUCAUUCACUAGUAGUUCUGUUAUUUGGUAUGCUACUUAACCUAGUCUUAUAAGAUUAAUAACUGGUGCACUGGCUGAAAAAGUGAAUUAACUGUGUCAGUGUGGGCUUAUAAAACAGUGACUGUUGAGUAUUUUGUUAAGAAAGUGGUUAUUUUGCUUUAAAUAUCAUUAAAGUAUUAGAUAUACUUCUGCUUUGGUGUUUCAGAGGUUGAUAAAUUCUUUGUAAAUUCAGUUUAAUAUCCAAAAUAAAUCCAAAUCUGUUUCAGCC
Amphiprion ocellaris (clown anemonefish) is the source of this 1228-nucleotide long non-coding RNA. Lineage: Eukaryota; Metazoa; Chordata; Actinopteri; Pomacentridae. The record is from Ensembl.